This 1272-nucleotide unclassified non-coding RNA is filed under the name Homalodisca vitripennis (glassy-winged sharpshooter). RNAcentral describes it as "uncharacterized LOC124357464, transcript variant X1". The record is from RNAcentral. Lineage: Eukaryota; Metazoa; Arthropoda; Insecta; Hemiptera; Cicadellidae.
GACGUAGUAAACAAUAAACAUACCUAACAAUUGCAAUAGUCAAUAGUGGAACUAUAACAUAUUAACUGUCAUUGAGUUGUUUACACGUUCAAAAUUUCGGUAUUUUGGCACUCCGUUUAGGUUAAUUUAUUAUGUAGUUUUCUAGUUUUUUUGGUGAAACAGUAAGAAUAAAUAAACAUUCUUUGGUCACCUUUAUGUUUUAGGGAGUAAGAACUAAUGUUUUGACGACGUGAUAAUACUUGUUGAUUUAGUGGUUUGAUUUUAAAACAGUGUAUGUUUAGAAGGUUAGAUCUCGAAUUUGUUUAUAAUCAUUCUUAUUUAGCUUAUAAUAUUGUAGUAGGUUGAAAGUGCGCGCGAAAUGGAUUUGCCUUCUCGAAAUGUUGAAAUCAAAGCAAAAGUUAGGGAUUUUGAGAGUAUUAUACUCAAAGCUGAAGAAAUGAGUGGGAAAGAACCCAUCAAACUGAACCAAAAAGAUAUAUUUUACCACUCUUUCUACAGAGAGAACCGUUUAAAACUCAGAGAUGAGAAUGGCUGUGGAACUCUAAUAUCUUAUAGUCGCCCUGAUUUGGAAGGACCAAAAUUAAGUAAAUAUAAGAAGUGCCAAGUUAAUGAUCCUUCUGCCCUGUCUGCCGUUUUGGAAGAUGCCUUGGGUGUGAAAGGUGUCGUGAAGAAACAGAGAUUUUUGUUUUUUGUUGGACAGACUCGUAUACAUAUAGAUCAAGUUGAAGGUUUAGGCAAUUUUAUGGAACUUGAGGUGGGUUUGAGAGAUACUCAGAGUGUUGAGGAAGGUCAGGUGAUUGCCCAAGAGCUAAUGUCUCAGCUCGGUGUCUCUGAACUGACUUAUACGUUUUGCUAUUAAUGUUUGCACAGGUGGGUUUGAGAGAUACUCAGAGUGUUGAGGAAGGUCAAGUGAUUGCCCAAGAGCUAAUGUCUCAGCUCAGUGUCUCUGAACUGACUUAUACGUGUUGCUAUUAAUGUUUGCACAGGUGGGUUUGAGAGAUACUCAGAGUGUUGAGGAAGGUCAGGUGAUUGCCCAAGAGCUAAUGUCUCAGCUCGGUGUCUCUGAACUGACUUAUACGUUUUGCUAUUAAUGUUUGCACAGGUGGGUUUGAGAGAUACUCAGAGUGUUGAGGAAGGUCAGGUGAUUGCCCAAGAGCUAAUGUCUCAGCUCGGUGUCUCUGAGACUGACUUAUUGGCAGGAGCUUAUAUGGACAUGAUGCAGAAACAUUCUGAAACCGUUUCCAUUUAAUUUUAAUAAACAUUACUUUUUAA